GGCUUUGUAGUUAAGUGGUACAAUACCUGCUUAGGGUGCAGGUGGCGCGGGUUCGAUUCCCGCCGAAGCCC
Molecule: transfer RNA, 71 nt
Organism: Entamoeba invadens IP1
Lineage: Eukaryota; Evosea; Mastigamoebida; Endamoebidae
Rfam family: tRNA
About the family: Transfer RNA (tRNA) molecules are approximately 80 nucleotides in length.
Source: Rfam